This 468-nucleotide ribosomal RNA is filed under the name uncultured bacterium. Its description in RNAcentral is "partial 16S ribosomal RNA". It matches the Rfam family "Bacterial small subunit ribosomal RNA", at positions 28 to 507 of the family's 1533-position model. The record is from RNAcentral.
GACGAACGCUGGCGGCGUGCUUAACACAUGCAAGUCGAACGGAAAGGCCCUGCUUUUGUGGGGUGCUCGAGUGGCGAACGGGUGAGUAACACGUGAGUAACCUGCCCUUGACUUUGGGAUAACUUCAGGAAACUGGGGUUAAUACCGGAUAGGAGCUCCUGCAGCAUGGUGGGGGUGGGAAAGUUUCGGCGGUUGGGGAUGGACUGGCGGGUAAUCAGCUUGUUGGUGGGGUAGUGGCUUACCAAGGCAUUGACGGGUAGCCGGCCUGAGAGGGUGACCGGGCACAUUGGGACUGGGGUACGGCCCAGACUGCUACGGGGGGCAGCAGUGGGAAAUAUUGCACAAUGGGCGGAAGCCUGAUGCAGCGACGCCGCGUGCGGAAUGACGGCCUUCGGGUUGUAAACCGCUUUCGCCUGUGACGAAGCGUGAGUGACGGUAAUGGGUAAAGAAGCACCGGCUAACUACGUG